CGCCGCAAACCACCCUUCUCUGGGCGACAGAUCCAUCUUCGACCACGUUCCGAAUCCUCCUUCUGCCUCGGGUCUUCCUUCUGCAUUCGACGCUUUCUCCGAAGUAACUAACUUCCAUUCCCUCCCCUUUGGGAUUCUCGAAUUUUCCCCUCCGUUGUUGAAUCUAUUUCUAUGUUGCCCUGAUGGAGAUUGCAGAACCGCCACAAUUUCUGAACAACAGUGUGGAAGAGUAUAACAACAACCCUUCUUCGAGAGACGCUGAUGAGCAACAAGGGAA
This 277-nucleotide unclassified non-coding RNA is filed under the name uncultured fungus. Its description in RNAcentral is "sequence contains ITS1". The record is from RNAcentral. Lineage: Eukaryota; Fungi.